This 896-nucleotide ribosomal RNA is filed under the name uncultured bacterium. RNAcentral describes it as "bacterial SSU rRNA". It matches the Rfam family "Bacterial small subunit ribosomal RNA", at positions 8 to 916 of the family's 1533-position model. The record is from RNAcentral.
AGAGUUUGAUCAUGGCUCAGAACGAACGUUGGCGGCGUGGAUUAGGCAUGCAAGUCGAACGAGAACCGUAGCAAUACGGGGAAAGUGGCGAAAGGGGCAGUAAUGCAUGGGUAAUCUACCCCGGGGACGUGGAUAGCCAUCCUAACGGGUGGGUAAUACACGGCGAUUCGGCGAGGGGGCAUCCUCUUGCCGGGAAAUGAAUUUCGCCUCGGGAGGAACUCAUGUCGUAUUAGCUUGUUGGCGGGGUAACGGCCCACCAAGGCAAAGAUGCGUAGCGGGUGUGAGAGCACGACCCGCGCCACUGGCACUGAGACACUGGCCAGACACCUACGGGUGGCUGCAGUCGAGGAUCUUCGGCAAUGGGCGCAAGCCUGACCGAGCGACGCCGCGUGUGCGACGAAGGCCUUCGGGUUGUAAAGCACUGUCGAGGGGGAGGAAAGCCCGCAAGGGUCUGACCUAUCCCUGGAGGAAGCACGGGCUAAGUUCGUGCCAGCAGCCGCGGUAAGACGAACCGUGCGAACGUUGUUCGGAAUCACUGGGCUUAAAGGGCGCGUAGGCGGGCAUUCAAGUCAGGGGUGUAUCCUCCAGCUCAACUGGAGAACUGCCUUUGAUACUGGGUGUCUCGAGUGAGGUAGGGGCGUGCGGAACUGAUGGUGGAGCGGUGAAAUGUGUUGAUAUCAUCAGGAACUCCGGUGGCGAAAGCGGCGCGCUGGACCUUAACUGACGCUGAGGCGCGAAAGCCAGGGGAGCAAACGGGAUUAGAUACCCCGGUAGUCCUGGCCCUAAACGAUGAGUACUAUGUAGUAGCCUUGACAUGGGGUUACUGCCGAAGCAAAAGUGCUAAGUACUCCGCCUGGGGAGUAUGGUCGCAAGGCUGAACUCAAAGGAAUUGACGG